Molecule: ribosomal RNA, 425 nt
Filed under: uncultured Cryptococcus
Lineage: Eukaryota; Fungi; Basidiomycota; Tremellomycetes
Description: LSU rRNA
Rfam family: Eukaryotic large subunit ribosomal RNA
Source: RNAcentral
GACGCGACAACCGGUGCUCUGUGAUACGUUCUCAAUGAGUCGAGUUGUUUGGGAAUGCAGCUCUAAAUGGGUGGUAAAUUCCAUCUAAGGCUAAAUAUUGGCGAGAGACCGAUAGCGAACAAGUACCGUGAGGGAAAGAUGAAAAGCACUUUGGAAAGAGAGUUAAACAGUAUGUGAAAUUGUUAAAAGGGAAACGAUUGAAGUCAGUCGUGUGAAAGGUAUUCAGCCGUCUCUGGCGGUGUAUUUGCCUUUCACGGGUCAACAUCAGUUUGAUCCGGUAGAAAAAGGCAGGAGGAAGGUGGCACCCUCGGGUGUGUUAUAGCCUCUUGUCAUAUGUGCCGGACCAGACUGAGGAACGCAGCUUGCCGCAAGGCCGGGGUUCGCCCACGUACAAGCUUAGGAUGUUGACAUAAUGGCUUUAAACG